RNAcentral lists this ribosomal RNA (497 nucleotides) under Triodontella alni alni. RNAcentral describes it as "partial 16S large subunit ribosomal RNA". It matches the Rfam family "Bacterial large subunit ribosomal RNA", at positions 1844 to 2600 of the family's 2925-position model. Lineage: Eukaryota; Metazoa; Arthropoda; Insecta; Coleoptera; Scarabaeidae. The record is from RNAcentral.
UUUAAGGUCUAGCCUGCCCAAUGAGGUUUUGAAUGGCCGCGGUAUUUUGACUGUGCAAAGGUAGCAUAAUAAUUAGUUUUUUAAUUGAAAGCUGGAAUGAAAGGUUGGACGAGAAAAUAGCUGUCUCAAUAUAAUUUAAUUUAGAAUUUUAUUUUUAAGUAAAAAAGCUUAAAUUUUUUUAAAAGACGAGAAGACCCUAUAGAGCUUUAUAUAUUAAAUUUUAUGGGUGUUUUAGUUAAUUUUAAAUUUUUAAUAUUUAAUAUAUUUUAUUGGGGUGAUAAAAAAAUUUAUAUAACUUUUUUUAUAUUUAUACAUUUAUAUAUGAAUAGUUGAUCCAUUUAUUAUGAUUAUAAGAUUAAGUUACCUUAGGGAUAACAGCGUAAUUUUUUUUUAGAGUUCUUAUCGAAAGAAGAGAUUGCGACCUCGAUGUUGGAUUAAAAUAAAUAUUUGGUGUAGGGGCUAAAUUAUUAGGUCUGUUCGACCUUUAAAAUUUUACA